This 301-nucleotide ribosomal RNA is filed under the name uncultured bacterium. RNAcentral's name for it is "partial 16S ribosomal RNA". It matches the Rfam family "Bacterial small subunit ribosomal RNA", at positions 509 to 807 of the family's 1533-position model. The record is from RNAcentral.
CAGUCGCCACGGGAACACGGAGGGUGCAAGCGUUAAUCGGAAUUACUGGGCGUAAAGCGCACGCAGGCGGUCUGACAAGUUAGAUGUGAAAUCCCCGGGCUUAACCUGGGAACUGCAUUUGAAACUGUCAGGCUGGAGUCUUGUAGAGGGGGGUAGAAUUCCAGGUGUAGCGGUGAAAUGCGUAGAGAUCUGGAGGAAUACCGGUGGCGAAGGCGGCCCCCUGGACAAAGACUGACGCUCAGGUGCGAAAGCGUGGGGAGCAAACAGGAUUAGAUACCCGAGUAGUCCCUGUCUCUUAUAC